GCCUCUAUAGCUCAGUGGUUUAGAGCAUGCGAUUGCAGUAUAUUCUGUUCAUCGCAGGGUCAGGCGUUCAAAUCGCCUUGGAGGCU
This 86-nucleotide transfer RNA is filed under the name Laccaria amethystina LaAM-08-1. It matches the Rfam family "tRNA". Rfam says of the family: Transfer RNA (tRNA) molecules are approximately 80 nucleotides in length. Their secondary structure includes four short double-helical elements and three loops (D, anti-codon, and T loops). Lineage: Eukaryota; Fungi; Basidiomycota; Agaricomycetes; Agaricales; Hydnangiaceae. The record is from Rfam by way of RNAcentral.